RNAcentral lists this ribosomal RNA (467 nucleotides) under uncultured bacterium. RNAcentral's name for it is "bacterial SSU rRNA". It matches the Rfam family "Bacterial small subunit ribosomal RNA", at positions 329 to 793 of the family's 1533-position model. The record is from RNAcentral.
UCCCAGACUCCUACGGGAGGCAGCAGUGAGGAAUAUUGGUCAAUGGUCGGGAGACUGGACCAGCCAAGCCGCGUGAGGGAUGAAGGUCCAGAGUAUCGUAAACCUCUUUUGUCAGGGAACAAAGGCGGGGACGCGUCCCCGGAUGAGUGUACCUGAAGAAAAAGCAUCGGCUAACUCCGUGCCAGCAGCCGCGGUAAUACGGAGGAUCCGAGCGUUAUCCGGAUUUAUUGGGUUUAAAGGGAGCGUAGAUGGGUUGUUAAGUCAGUUGUGAAAGUUUGCGGCUCAACCGUAAAAUUGCAAUUGAUACUGGCAGCCUUGAGUACAGUUGAGGUAGGCGGAAUUCGUGGUGUAGCGGUGAAAUGCAUAGAUAUCACGCAGAACUCCGAUUGCGAAGGCAGCAUACCGGCGCCCGACUGACGCUGAGGCACGAAAGCGUGGGUAUCGAACAGGAUUAGAUACCCUAGUAC